UCCUCUGUAGCUCAGCGGUAGAGCGGGUGGCUGUUAACCACUAGGUCGUUGGUUCGAUCCCAACCGGGGGAGCCA
Molecule: transfer RNA, 75 nt
Filed under: Verrucomicrobiales bacterium
Lineage: Bacteria; Pseudomonadati; Verrucomicrobiota; Verrucomicrobiia; Verrucomicrobiales
Also listed under: 2 other names
Description: tRNA-Asn
Rfam family: tRNA
About the family: Transfer RNA (tRNA) molecules are approximately 80 nucleotides in length. Their secondary structure includes four short double-helical elements and three loops (D, anti-codon, and T loops).
Source: RNAcentral